Molecule: ribosomal RNA, 171 nt
Filed under: Triticum aestivum (bread wheat)
Lineage: Eukaryota; Viridiplantae; Streptophyta; Magnoliopsida; Poales; Poaceae
Description: partial small subunit ribosomal RNA
Source: RNAcentral
AUGGGCCCUCAACACCCAUCAAUGCAUGGUGUUCUUCGACUGAUCGUUACUCUCGAUGGUGAGGAUGUUAUUGAUUGUGAACCCAUAUUAGGCUAUUUACACAGAGGAAUGGAAAAAAUCGCGGAAAACCGAACUAUUAUACAAUACUUACCUUAUGUAAUAAGGAUAUAG